GAUGAACGCUGGCGGCGUGCCUAAUACAUGCAAGUCGAGCGAACAGACGAGGAGCUUGCUCCUCUGACGUUAGCGGCGGACGGGUGAGUAACACGUGUAUAACCUACCUAUAAGACGGGGAUAACUUCGGGAAACCGGAUCUAAUACCGUAUAAUAUAUUGAACCACAUGGGUCAAUAGUGAAAGUCGGUUUUGCUGGCACGUAUCGCUGGUUCCGCGCCGCUUUAUCUAGUUGUUACGGUAACGGCUUACCAAGGCAAGCAGGCGUAGCCGACCUGAGAGAGGGAUCGGCCACACGGGAACUGAGACAGGGACCAGACUCCUACGGGAGGCAGCAGUAGGGAAUGUUCCGCAAUGGGCGAAAGCCUGACGGAGCAACGCCGCGCGAGUGAUGAAGGUCCUCGGAUCGUAAAACUCUGUUAUUAGUGAAGAACAAAUGUGUAAGUAACUAUGCACGUCUUGACGGUACCUAGUCAGAAAGCCACGGCUAACUACGUG
RNAcentral lists this ribosomal RNA (497 nucleotides) under uncultured bacterium. RNAcentral describes it as "partial 16S ribosomal RNA". It matches the Rfam family "Bacterial small subunit ribosomal RNA", at positions 28 to 507 of the family's 1533-position model. The record is from RNAcentral.